AACGAACGCUGGCGGCAGGCCUAACACAUGCAAGUCGAGCGCGCCCUUCGGGGUGAGCGGCGGACGGGUGAGUAACGCGUGGGAACGUGCCCUUCUCUGCGGAAUAGCCUCGGGAAACUGAGAGUAAUACCGCAUACGCCCUUUGGGGGAAAGAUUUAUCGUAGAAGGAUCGGCCCGCGUUGGAUUAGGUAGUUGGUGGGGUAAUGGCCCACCAAGCCGACGAUCCAUAGCUGGUUUGAGAGGAUGAUCAGCCACACUGGGACUGAGACACGGCCCAGACUCCUACGGGAGGCAGCAGUGGGGAAUCUUAGACAAUGGGGGCAACCCUGAUCUAGCCAUGCCGCGUGAGUGAUGAAGGCCUUAGGGUUGUAAAGCUCUUUCAGCUGGGAAGAUAAUGACGGUACCAGCAGAAGAAGCCCCGGCUAACUCCGUG
This 433-nucleotide ribosomal RNA is filed under the name uncultured bacterium. RNAcentral's name for it is "partial 16S ribosomal RNA". It matches the Rfam family "Bacterial small subunit ribosomal RNA", at positions 29 to 507 of the family's 1533-position model. The record is from RNAcentral.